UACAGAGGGGGCAAGCGUUGUUCGGAAUUACUGGGCGUAAAGGGCGCGUAGGCGGCCUGUUAAGUCGGACGUGAAAUCCCUCGGCUCAACCGGGGAACUGCGUCUGAUACUGGCGGGCUUGAGUUCGGGAGAGGGAUGUGGAAUUCCAGGUGUAGCGGUGAAAUGCGUAGAUAUCUGGAGGAACACCGGUGGCGAAGGCGGCAUCCUGGACCGACACUGACGCUGAGGCGCGAAAGCCAGGGGAGCAAACGGG
This 253-nucleotide ribosomal RNA is filed under the name uncultured bacterium. RNAcentral describes it as "partial 16S ribosomal RNA". It matches the Rfam family "Bacterial small subunit ribosomal RNA", at positions 524 to 776 of the family's 1533-position model. The record is from RNAcentral.